UUGCCGCUCUCAAGUGCUGUGCAAUGGUGGGGUGAGUGGCAGCUACAAGUCCUCACUCUUGGCAGCCUUGGUAUCCAGUACGUCCUCGCUAUUUUCGCCAACUUCCGCAAGUCCCAUACCCCACAGUGCUUCAAAUUUGUCACCUGGUUAGCGUUCCUUGGAAGCGAUGCUGUUGCGAUAUAUGCUCUCACCAUGCUCUUCAACCGGCAAAGGUACCAGAAGCCAUACAGCUCUGCCUCUGAGAAUGACACCCUUGGUCUGCAGAUGCUUUGGGCACCUAUCUUGCUGAUGCACCUUGGCGGGCAGGCCGGCAUAACAGCCUAUAAUAUCGAAGAUAAUGAGCUAUGGAGGCGGCAUAUUGUUACCGCGCUGUCUCAGAUGUGA
Molecule: ribosomal RNA, 384 nt
Filed under: Triticum aestivum (bread wheat)
Lineage: Eukaryota; Viridiplantae; Streptophyta; Magnoliopsida; Poales; Poaceae
Description: partial small subunit ribosomal RNA
Source: RNAcentral